Molecule: non-coding RNA, 353 nt
Organism: Pygoscelis adeliae (Adelie penguin)
Lineage: Eukaryota; Metazoa; Chordata; Aves; Sphenisciformes; Spheniscidae
Source: Rfam
GGAUGUGAGGGCGAUCUGGCUGCGACAUCUGUCACCCCAUUGAUCGCCAGGGUUGAUUCGGCUGAUCUGGCUGGCUAGGCGGGUGUCCCCUUCCUCCCUCACCGCUCCAUGUGCGUCCCUCCCGAAGCUGCGCGCUCGGUCGAAGAGGACGACCUUCCCCGAUAGAGACGUACCGUUCAUCGGUCAAGGGUAUACGGUAGCUGCGCUCCCUGCUAGAACUUCCCUCCUCUGACGAAGUCGUGUGCUCUGGUCAUGGGCUAUGCUCUCUGCACUCUCCCUGGGGCUAAAAUAAACAUUACCGAGGAGAAAAUGUGCACGAUUUACAAAUGUAUAACACUUCACCACAUGUAGGU